This 374-nucleotide ribosomal RNA is filed under the name uncultured bacterium. RNAcentral describes it as "bacterial SSU rRNA". It matches the Rfam family "Bacterial small subunit ribosomal RNA", at positions 524 to 898 of the family's 1533-position model. The record is from RNAcentral.
UACGGAGAGUGCAAACGUUGUUCGGAUUCACUGGGCGUAAAGGGCACGUAGGCGGCUCGGCAAAUCGGUCGUGGAAUCCCGACGCUUACCGUCGGAACGGCGGCCGAAAAUACCGGGCUCGAGGGCGUGAGGGGUCACUGGAACUCCUGGUGAAGCGGUGAAAUGCGUAGAUAUCAGGAGGAACGCCGGAGGCGAAAGCGAGUGACUGGCGCGUUCCUGACGCUGAGGUGCGAAAGCUAGGGGAGCAAACAGGAUUAGAUACCCUGGUAGUCCUAGCCGUAAACGAUGGACACUGAGUGGAGGAGGGCUUGCCUUUCUCUGCUGCAGCUAACGCGUUAAGUGUCCCGCCUGGGGAGUACGGCCGCAAGGUUAAA